AGCAAAUAGAUACCCUGGUAGUCCACGCCGUAAACGAUGGGUGCUAGUUGUCGGGCAGCUUGCUGUUCGGUGACGCAGCUAACGCAUUAAGCACCCCGCCUGGGAGUACGGUCGCAAGAUUAAACUCAAGGAAUUGACGGGGCCGGCACAAGCGGUGGAGCAUGUGGUUUAAUUUACGACGCAACGCGCAGAACCGUUACCAACCCUUGUACAUCCCGGUCGCGCUUUCCAGAGAUGGAUCGCUUCAGUUCGGUCUGGACCGGAGACAGGUGUUGCAUGGCUGUCGUCAGCUCGUGUCGUGAGAUGUU
Molecule: ribosomal RNA, 308 nt
Filed under: uncultured bacterium
Lineage: Bacteria
Description: bacterial SSU rRNA
Rfam family: Bacterial small subunit ribosomal RNA
Source: RNAcentral